RNAcentral lists this transfer RNA (73 nucleotides) under Ovis aries (sheep). It matches the Rfam family "tRNA". Rfam says of the family: Transfer RNA (tRNA) molecules are approximately 80 nucleotides in length. The record is from Rfam by way of RNAcentral. Lineage: Eukaryota; Metazoa; Chordata; Mammalia; Artiodactyla; Bovidae.
UCCCUGGUGGUCCAGUGGUCAGGAGUCUGUGCUUCCACUGCAGGAGACACAGGUUCAAUCCCUGUUCAGGGAU